UACGUAGGGGGGCUAGCGUUGUCCGGAAUCAUUGGGCGUAAAGAGCGUGUAGGCGGCCCCGGUAAGUCCGCUGUAAAAAGUCAAAGGCUCAACCUUUGAAUGUCAGUGGAUACUGCCGGGCUAGAGUCCGGAAGAGGCGAGUGGAACUCCUGGUGUAGCGGUGGAAUGCGCAGAUAUCAGGAAGAACACCAACGGCGAAGGCAGCUCGCUGGGACGGUACUGACGCUGAGACGCGAAAAGCGUGGGGGAGCGAACAGG
This 258-nucleotide ribosomal RNA is filed under the name uncultured bacterium. RNAcentral describes it as "partial 16S ribosomal RNA". It matches the Rfam family "Bacterial small subunit ribosomal RNA", at positions 524 to 776 of the family's 1533-position model. The record is from RNAcentral.